AACGAACGCUGGCGGCAUGCCUAACACAUGCAAGUCGAACGAGACCUUCGGGUCUAGUGGCGCACGGGUGCGUAACGCGUGGGAACCUGCCCUUAGGUUCGGAAUAACUCCCCGAAAGGGGUGCUAAUACCGGAUAAUGUCUUCGGACCAAAGAUUUAUCGCCUUUGGAUGGGCCCGCGUUGGAUUAGCUAGUUGGUAGGGUAAAAGCCUACCAAGGCGACGAUCCAUAGCUGGUCUGAGAGGAUGAUCAGCCACACUGGGACUGAGACACGGCCCAGACUCCUACGGAAGGCAGCAGUGGGGAAUAUUGGACAAUGGGCGAAAGCCUGAUCCAGCAAUGCCGCGUGAGUGAUGAAGGCCUUAGGGUUGUAAAGCUCUUUUACCCGGAUGAUAAUGACAGUACCGGGAGAAUAAGCUCCGGCUAACUCCGU
This 431-nucleotide ribosomal RNA is filed under the name uncultured bacterium. Its description in RNAcentral is "partial 16S ribosomal RNA". It matches the Rfam family "Bacterial small subunit ribosomal RNA", at positions 29 to 506 of the family's 1533-position model. The record is from RNAcentral.